Molecule: ribosomal RNA, 463 nt
Filed under: uncultured bacterium
Lineage: Bacteria
Description: partial 16S ribosomal RNA
Rfam family: Bacterial small subunit ribosomal RNA
Source: RNAcentral
GAUGAACGCUGACAGAAUGCUUAACACAUGCAAGUCGAUGGGGAAGUGGUGCUUGCACCCUCGCAACCAUGGCGGACGGGUGAGUAACGCGUAAGGGACUUACCUGCAGGACUGGGAUAACAGGGGGAAACUCCUGACAAGACCGGAUAAUGUCAUGGAGCUGCAUGGCUUUAUGAUGAAAGGAGACGCCUGCGGAGAGCCUUGCGUCCUAUUAGCUAGUUGGUGAGGUAAUGGCUCACCAAGGCGAAGAUAGGUAGCCGGCCUGAGAGGGUGGACGGCCACAAGGGGACUGAGAUACGGCCCUUACUCCUACGGGAGGCAGCAGUGGGGAAUAUUGGACAAUGGGGGCAACCCUGAUCCAGCAAUUCUGUGUGCACGAAGAAGGUUUUCGGAUUGUAAAGUGCUUUCAGCAGGGAAGAAGUAAGUGACGGUACCUGCAGAAGAAGCGACGGCUAAAUACGUG